GGGGAUAUGGCGGAAUGGUAGACGCAGCGGACUCAAGCAGUAGAACGAAAAUCCGUUGGUUUCGACCGUGAGGGUUCGACUCCCUCUAUCCCCA
Molecule: transfer RNA, 94 nt
Filed under: Athyrium brevifrons
Lineage: Eukaryota; Viridiplantae; Streptophyta; Polypodiopsida; Polypodiales; Athyriaceae
Description: tRNA-Leu
Rfam family: tRNA
About the family: Transfer RNA (tRNA) molecules are approximately 80 nucleotides in length. Their secondary structure includes four short double-helical elements and three loops (D, anti-codon, and T loops).
Source: RNAcentral